CGGCAGGGAGGGUCGGGGGGCUCGGCCUCCCCUGUAACUACAAACGGUCGUCAUGGUAGGACCAGUAACCCCAAGGGCGAUGGUUCCAUCCUCUGAGUUUAGUAUAACUGACGUAGAAGUCCCGCCCCACGGGAGUGUCGGAGCAGGGCAAUUCCAUUCGGAGGAAUGGAAUCCCUGCAUACUGGACGAACCGGGUUAGGCCCGGAAGGGAGCGGCCCUAAGUCCAGACGGCACUGUUCGUGGGAUAACGGGAUGGAUGUCAGUUAUACUAAACUCAGAGGAUAAGGGCCAUCCACCUUGGGGGGCUGCCG
This 311-nucleotide signal recognition particle RNA is filed under the name Thermoproteota archaeon. Its description in RNAcentral is "signal recognition particle sRNA". It matches the Rfam family "Archaeal signal recognition particle RNA". The record is from RNAcentral. Lineage: Archaea; Thermoproteati; Thermoproteota. RNAcentral also lists the same sequence under 1 other name.